CCUACGGGACGCACCAGUGGGGAAUUUUCCGCAAUGGGCGAAAGCCUGACGGAGCAAUGCCGCGUGGAGGUAGAAGGCCCCCGGGUCGUGAACUUCUUUUCCCGGAGAAGAAGCAAUGACGGUAUCUGGGGAAUAAGCAUCGGCCAACUCUGUGCCAGCAGCCGCGGUAAUACAGAGGAUGCAAGCGUUAUCCGGAAUGAUUGGGCGUAAAGCGUCUGUAGGUGGCUUUUUAAGUCCGCCGUCAAAUCCCAGGGCUCAACCCUGGACAGGUGGUGGAAACUACCAAGCUGGAGUACGGGAGGGGCAGAGGGAAUUUCCGGUGGAGCGGUGAAAUGCGUAGAGAUCGGAAUGAACACCAACGGCGAAAGCACUCUGCUGGGCCGAUACUGACACUGAGAGACGAAAGCUAGGGGAGCGAAUGGGAUUAGAUACCCCGGUAGUC
Molecule: ribosomal RNA, 442 nt
Filed under: uncultured bacterium
Lineage: Bacteria
Description: bacterial SSU rRNA
Rfam family: Bacterial small subunit ribosomal RNA
Source: RNAcentral